RNAcentral lists this ribosomal RNA (235 nucleotides) under Bacillus velezensis. RNAcentral describes it as "partial 23S ribosomal RNA". It matches the Rfam family "Bacterial large subunit ribosomal RNA", at positions 110 to 338 of the family's 2925-position model. Lineage: Bacteria; Bacillati; Bacillota; Bacilli; Caryophanales; Bacillaceae. The record is from RNAcentral.
AUUUCCGAAUGUGGAAACCCACCACUCGUAAUGGAGUGGUAUCCAUAUCUGAAUACAUAGGAUAUGAGAAGGCAGACCCGGGGAACUGAAACAUCUAAGUACCCGGAGGAAGAGAAAGCAAAUGCGAUUCCCUGAGUAGCGGCGAGCGAAACGGGAUCAGCCCAAACCAAGAGGCUUGCCUCUUGGGGUUGUAGGACACUCUGUACGGAGUUACAAAGGAACGAGGUAGAUGAAG